UAGCUUGCUAUUUUGCUGACGAGUGGCGCACGGGUGCGUAACGCGUAUACAAUCUACCUUUUGCUGAGGGAUAGCCCAGAGAAAUUUGGAUUAAUACCUCAUGGUAUUAUUGAUAGGCAUCUAUUAAUAAUUAAAGGUUACGGCAAAAGAUGAGUAUGCGUCCCAUUAGCUAGUUGGUGAAGUAACGGUUCACCAAGGCAACGAUGGGUAGGGGUCCUGAGAGGGAGAUCCCCCACACUGGUACUGAGACACGGACCAGACUCCUACGGGAGGCAGCAGUGAGGAAUAUUGGACAAUGGGCGAGAGCCUGAUCCAGCCAUGCCGCGUGCAGGAAGACUGCCCUAUGGGUUGUAAACUGCUUUUAUACAGGAAGAAUAAGCCUUACGUGUAAGGUGAUGACGGUACUGUAAGAAUAAGGACCGGCUAACUCCGUGCCAGCAGCCGCGGUAAUACGGAGGGUCCGAGCGUUAUCCGGAAUUAUUGGGUUUAAAGGGUCCGUAGGCGGAUGAUUA
Molecule: ribosomal RNA, 512 nt
Filed under: uncultured Aureimarina sp.
Lineage: Bacteria; Pseudomonadati; Bacteroidota; Flavobacteriia; Flavobacteriales; Flavobacteriaceae
Description: bacterial SSU rRNA
Rfam family: Bacterial small subunit ribosomal RNA
Source: RNAcentral